CACUGGAUUGAAGAGUUUGGGAACUCUUCUUCUCUUUACUUUAUAAACCGUAUCAAUCUGUGUGGACACUCAUCGU
Molecule: transfer RNA, 76 nt
Filed under: Vibrio parahaemolyticus
Lineage: Bacteria; Pseudomonadati; Pseudomonadota; Gammaproteobacteria; Vibrionales; Vibrionaceae
Description: tRNA-Glu
Source: RNAcentral